GGUGGACGUAGCCAAGUGGAUUAAGGCAGUGGAUUGUGAAUCCACCAUGCGCGA
Molecule: transfer RNA, 54 nt
Filed under: Asterella californica
Lineage: Eukaryota; Viridiplantae; Streptophyta; Marchantiopsida; Marchantiales; Aytoniaceae
Description: partial tRNA-His
Source: RNAcentral